CCGUUGGGAUGUCCGGCGGAGAGCAGACGGGCGUUGGCGGUGCCGGCAACCGUGUAGCCGGCGUUCGACACGCUGUUGACGAUC
This 84-nucleotide transfer RNA is filed under the name Pandoraea anhela. Its description in RNAcentral is "Pandoraea sp. LMG 31108 tRNA-Ala". The record is from RNAcentral. Lineage: Bacteria; Pseudomonadati; Pseudomonadota; Betaproteobacteria; Burkholderiales; Burkholderiaceae.